Molecule: long non-coding RNA, 2433 nt
Organism: Diceros bicornis minor
Lineage: Eukaryota; Metazoa; Chordata; Mammalia; Perissodactyla; Rhinocerotidae
Exons: 7
Source: RefSeq, a predicted model, not a curated record
AUACCAUCUAGAUGUUUCAUGAACAAAGAGAUGGAUUGACACAAACACUGGGUUUUGGUUUUCUCUCACCCACCAGUUGAGGUUAGGGAACCUUAACGUGAUAAAAGAUAUUUUCUUAUUCCAAGUGUGUUAGAGCCCUUGACGCUGAAGCCUGGUUAAAAGUUAGAGUCUGAUAUCCUCACUUUUCAAAAUGAGGUUUUGUCACAGCUAAACAUCAGCCAGGGGAUUCACAUGUAUGACAAUGGCAGCAUAUGACAGCUGCAGCAAAUUACAGAGCCUCAUUCUGACCUUAGUUUUUAAUAAACACUAAAAUAAACGAAGACAGCAUUUUACUUUCAGGUAUGAAAAAGAAAUAUCUAAGCAAGAAUUCAGAUAAUGAAUUAUUGUUUUGGGCUGGACAUUAAUAGAAGCUGACACAAACAAUGGCGUCAGCCAGGGGAGCAUUCCAAAACUUUGUACAGUGUUCCUGAUAGCCGGAGAAGAGAAGGAGAAAUUGAACCCUCCAAAUACGAAGAGAUUUCAUUAUACAUUUGACUUAAGAAGCACUGUAAUUUUGACAAUAGAUGACACUUCAUAGUUAGGUUCACAAUGGUUAGAUAUUUAUGAAGAAAUGGAGGCAGAUUAGCUCAUUCCUCCUAGAACAUGGAUACAUAUUCUUCACAGGAUGAAUAUACACUGUCUUAAUACCCAUUUCAGCAGAAAACUGAAAUAAAACAAGUAUUUAUCUUCCAUGAAAAUGAUGAAACCCAAAACAUGUGAAGUGUAAAAAGAAUCUUCAGAAAAAUAAUACAUAUAAAGAAAAGAAGACAAUUAUUAACAGUGCUGAAGUGUGGGCUGUCUCAUUUAAGGAAACCUCCCAAUUCUUUAGUACUGUGUGAAUACAUAAACCAACAUUCAAAUACAAAUUAAAAAGGAGUUUCAGGAGAUUUCAGGAGCUGAGCAAAGAAGCAAGAGAAACAAAUUCCACAGGGGAGGAUGCAGAAAAGAAACAGGUUCAAAUAAACGCCAGCUCCAGUACAAGAAAAAGCUUUUGUGUAAAUGGUGUAUGUAGUUGGCCAAGAUGCCAACACAGCGUGAGAAUGCUGACCCAGCUAGCCUGACAUUAUUCACAAUAGCUAAGAUGUGGAAGCAACCCAAGUGCCCAUCAAUGGAUGAAUGGAUAAAGAAGAUGUGGUAUAUAUAUAUAUACGAUGGAAUAGUACUCAGCUAUAAAAAAAGACAAAAUUGUGCCAUUUGUGACAACAUGGAUGGACUUCGAGGGUAUUAUGCUAAGCAAAAUAAGUCAGAAGGAUAUGGCCAUCGUUGCACUGUUCAUUUUAAACACCAACUGGAAGAGGCUUCCAUUGCUCAUUUGGCACCAACCUGAAUCACUCUGCAGCAUCUUGAUACCCGAGAGUGCAAACACUUUGGAGUUCAUCCACCUGGAUUCAAUGAGCCAAGUGUGUGACCUUAGAUGAGCAGCAAAUUGUCAGGUGGUCCAGAGAAUGAGAGAGCUGGUGAACUCUGCACAUUCAGGAGCUCAGUUCCCCAAGGUGCAACAAGAAAACACGUUCAUCAUUGAAAGCAGGCGUAGCUUCUGGACAUUUCGGCACUGAUUUUUAAAAGUGUGGAAAUAACUCUUGCUUUAAUAUAAAUCAGAGCUGAAGAUCUGAGCAUCACUAUGCCAAUGUCGACGGAAGCACCAAGGACUGACCUGCCACCUCUUCUCUACCUCUACUCCCCGGUACUGGGAGCUGGUUUCAUGAACUUCACAAUGCACUUGAUUCGGUCCUGACAAAUUUAUAGUGUGCCUUGGGAUAUAAAUUUAAUUGACUAUUAUUUCAGGCUUUGUCAUCAGAAAGGUCACUGGAGAAAAAUACAUAGGGAAGUUCUGAAGUAUGAAAAUUGUCAGUUAAUCUGAGAUUUUCAUUUAACUGAGGUUUAUUUUUAGGUCCAAUUUCACCGCGCUGUGCCAAAGGCCAUUGUAAAACUUGAUGAAGAAAUAAUUUUCCUUUCAAAAUGAUAUAACAUUUAAUUGUAAUUCUAAUUAUAUUCAAUUUAAUGGUGAUAUUAAGGUACAUUUUGAAUGGAGGCUAAGCGUCCUUUUUGCUUCACUCCUUGGCACAGUGGAAUUGUGAAGCCACCAAAGCCGAAUGAUAUUAGAAAUUAUGUACUGACCACUUACUAUGCAUUGGAUGCUAAAUUCACCACCCUGGCUGGUGUGAAAAGAUGUUUAAAUACUUGCAUUUUCAAGAUUACUUGCAUUUCAGAUCUUAGGAAAGAAAGAUAUAUAAUUGGAGAUACAGUUUUCUUGGACCUCCCAUUUAUUUUUCUUUCUAUAUUGAGUUAUUUCUAUUUAGUCUAUGGGUGGCAUUUUCUUCAAAAUCAUUUCCUAAAAUUUAUGCAGAAUUGUUGUCUAUAUUUACCCUUUCUCUUUUUUGCUAUAAUUGCUUU